RNAcentral lists this ribosomal RNA (253 nucleotides) under uncultured bacterium. RNAcentral's name for it is "partial 16S ribosomal RNA". It matches the Rfam family "Bacterial small subunit ribosomal RNA", at positions 524 to 776 of the family's 1533-position model. The record is from RNAcentral.
UACGUAGGGGGCAAGCGUUGUCCGGAAUCAUUGGGCGUAAAGCGCGUGUAGGCGGUUCAGUAAGUCUGCUGUGAAAGUCCAGGGCUCAACCCUGGGAUGCCGGUGGAUACUGCUGGGCUAGAGUACGGAAGAGGCGAGUGGAAUUCCCGGUGUAGUGGUGAAAUGCGUAGAUAUCUGGAGGAACACCGGUGGCGAAGGCGGCAUCCUGGACCGGUAUUGACGCUGAGGCGCGAAAGCUAGGGGAGCAAACGGG